This 456-nucleotide long non-coding RNA is filed under the name Rhinopithecus bieti (black snub-nosed monkey). Its description in RNAcentral is "lncRNA (ENSRBIG00000045069.1)". Lineage: Eukaryota; Metazoa; Chordata; Mammalia; Primates; Cercopithecidae. The record is from RNAcentral.
GGCAGCUAGAGAGGGAUGCUGGGUCUGGGGCUUGCAAUCAAGUGCCGCAGCCGGAAUCAUCAAGCUUGAAGGAGUGACACAAAGGCCUGGGGCCACUGAAGAUGACCCACGGGUGCCUCUGCCAAGGCCAGUCCAGGACAGUGGUGUUGAGCGUCCAGAGCCACCAGGGUGGCACCAAGAUGAUGGUCCCCCAGGAGCCACCUCUGCUCAGCCUGGCCUUGUCUGCUUCCACGGCAAUGUGGUUCCUUCCCAUCUGUCCAUGCCAUGAGCUGCCUGUCCUUUCAGUCAGCUGGUCAAAGCCACAGGACUGAAGCAGAUGGCUGAGCCUGCAGAUGGUACAAGGCUUCUGAUGGAAGGACCUAGCAAUUGAGGUAAAAGUGCAGCAAAAUGUUCAAGAAAAAUAUCUGAGCCCGCGGCAAACCACAGUCAUCAUUGCCCUUCUGUUAAACCAGAAGG